CACGGGGGGAGCAAGCGUUGUUCGGAAUCACUGGGCGUAAAGGGCGUGUAGGCGGUCAAGUAAGUGGAAUGUGAAACGCCUCGGCUUACCCGAGGACCUGCAUCCCAAACUGCUUGGCUUGAGUAUGGGAGAGGAUGAGGGAAUUCCUGGUGUAGCGGUGAAAUGCGUAGAUAUCAGGAGGAACACCUGUGGCGAAAGCGGCUCACUGGACCACAACUGACGCUGAGGCGCGAAAGCUAGGGGAGCAAACAGG
RNAcentral lists this ribosomal RNA (253 nucleotides) under uncultured bacterium. RNAcentral describes it as "partial 16S ribosomal RNA". It matches the Rfam family "Bacterial small subunit ribosomal RNA", at positions 524 to 776 of the family's 1533-position model. The record is from RNAcentral.